GAUGAGUGCCAUCGUUACGAUAUUAUUAUAUUUAUUCCUAUAAGCCACCUAAUAAGUAUGCAACCAGUUAUGCGUUCGUGCUUAGAACGGGUUACCUAGAUUUGUGACCAAAUAUAAUAGAAGGUUGGUACUACGCUUGGGGAAUUCUGGUCUUAGCUUGUGGCUGUACGGCUUCCGACGGAGGGGCAUGUCAUAUCGCCCAUCGGAGAGGAUUGUCACUUCAAUUUUCAAUCUGGUUGGAUGAACAAGUAAAUUUUUCCGUGGUCACUGUUUAAAGAAUACAAUAUUUAGUUAAAAUAUUCAUUUAUUAUAAGAUUGGUUUAUUUUGGAAGGAGCUAUUUUUUGUUUUGGGAUUUGUGCGGUGAGAGGAAGAGUUUUAUUUCCAAGUUUCCUUUUGGAAAACAGUGGCCACGGAAGAAAAUAAGAAGAUGGAAAAUUAAGUCAAUCAUACUUUAAUUUGUUUUUUUUGGAAUACAUAAUCAUUUUGGGGAUAUUUUGGAUGGAAUGUGGAUGUUUUGUUUGGUUUUUGUGGAAUAAAAGUUGAGUUUUCCGAUACUGGGCAGCUACCUGCUUGCCGUACCUUCCUGUUGGUGUGGAGUACCUCCCUAGGGUUGGGAACCAGAGGAUACCUUAUUUGGCUCUCCCCUCAUCAUCUUCACCGAAGGUUGGAAGAAGCAAUCCGCCUACUUUUUGUAGGGACAGGUUUUUAUAUAACUAAAUUUGCAUGUCAAUUUGUUUUAAUAAUAACUUCCAAUUUUACUAUU
Diabrotica virgifera virgifera (western corn rootworm) is the source of this 764-nucleotide long non-coding RNA. RefSeq lists it as uncharacterized. NCBI's taxonomy places the organism in Eukaryota, Metazoa, Arthropoda, Insecta, Coleoptera, Chrysomelidae. The transcript is spliced from 2 exons. The record is from RefSeq and is a predicted model, not a curated record.